This 508-nucleotide ribosomal RNA is filed under the name Salmonella enterica. RNAcentral describes it as "bacterial SSU rRNA". It matches the Rfam family "Bacterial small subunit ribosomal RNA", at positions 1 to 498 of the family's 1533-position model. The record is from RNAcentral. Lineage: Bacteria; Pseudomonadati; Pseudomonadota; Gammaproteobacteria; Enterobacterales; Enterobacteriaceae.
AAAUUGAAGAGUUUGAUCAUGGCUCAGAUUGAACGCUGGCGGCAGGCCUAACACAUGCAAGUCGAACGGUAACAGGAAGCAGCUUGCUGCUUUGCUGACGAGUGGCGGACGGGUGAGUAAUGUCUGGGAAACUGCCUGAUGGAGGGGGAUAACUACUGGAAACGGUGGCUAAUACCGCAUAAUGUCGCAAGACCAAAGAGGGGGACCUUCGGGCCUCUUGCCAUCAGAUGUGCCCAGAUGGGAUUAGCUUGUUGGUGAGGUAACGGCUCACCAAGGCGACGAUCCCUAGCUGGUCUGAGAGGAUGACCAGCCACACUGGAACUGAGACACGGUCCAGACUCCUACGGGAGGCAGCAGUGGGGGAUAUUGCACAAUGGGCGCAAGCCUGAUGCAGCCAUGCCGCGUGUAUGAAGAAGGCCUUCGGGUUGUAAAGUACUUUCAGCGGGGAGGAAGGUGUUGUGGUUAAUAACCGCAGCAAUUGACGUUACCCGCAGAAGAAGCACCGGCU